RNAcentral lists this small nucleolar RNA (143 nucleotides) under Tupaia belangeri chinensis (Chinese tree shrew). The record is from RNAcentral. Lineage: Eukaryota; Metazoa; Chordata; Mammalia; Scandentia; Tupaiidae.
AGUACACAUUGCUAGGUUGAGCCCAUUGACUGGCCGAUGAACUCUCAAGUGUUGGUAGUAUGCUACACGAUGAGUAACUUUUUCACUAACACAAGGGUUUCUGUCCCGAUGAGUGUAGUUUAAUAGUAAUCAUUGCUACAAAU